Molecule: ribosomal RNA, 442 nt
Filed under: uncultured bacterium
Lineage: Bacteria
Description: bacterial SSU rRNA
Rfam family: Bacterial small subunit ribosomal RNA
Source: RNAcentral
GUACGGGAGGCAGCAGUAGGGAAUCUUGCGCAAUGGGCGAAAGCCUGACGCAGCGACGCCGCGUGCGGGAUGAAGGCCUUCGGGUCGUAAACCGCUUUCAGCAGGGACGAAAUUGACGGUACCUGCAGAAGAAGGCCCGGCCAACUACGUGCCAGCAGCCGCGGUGAUACGUAGGGGUCUAGCGUUGUCCGGAAUCAUUGGGCGUAAAGAGCUCGUAGGCGGUUCGGCAAGUCGGAUGUGAAAUCUCCACGCUCAACGUGGAGGGGCCAUUCGAAACUGCCGUGACUCGAGUCCGGUAGGGGAGUGCGGAAUUCCCGGUGUAGCGGUGAAAUGCGCAGAUAUCGGGAGGAACACCAGUGGCGAAGGCGGCACUCUGGGCCGGAACUGACGCUGAGGAGCGAAAGCGUGGGGAGCGAACAGGAUUAGAAACCCUAGUAGUCCU